This is an RNA transcript of Zophobas morio, 2492 nucleotides long. RefSeq lists it as uncharacterized. The record is from RefSeq and is a predicted model, not a curated record. NCBI's taxonomy places the organism in Eukaryota, Metazoa, Arthropoda, Insecta, Coleoptera, Tenebrionidae. The transcript has 5 exons.
AUGUUUCUAACAAAAGUUUUUAAUAACCUACGCCCCCAGAAACAGUGUCUUUAUUUACUACAAACACACUUAAACCAAAGAUUACAAUCAAGCAAGUCCAAAGAAGAACAGCCUAAGGCUGCCAGUAAUCAAACUUUGGGGGGCAUGGGUUCAAAAUAUCAAGUUUUUCGUGAUGAAGAUUCUGAAGUUAUUCUUGACCUUUACGAAGAACGGCACUAUGGAGAUUUACUAGAAUCAGAAGAAAGAAAAAAAGAUUUAUGCGAAGGCUUAAAUUUAGAACGAGGAUUCGAUGGUGUUUAUGACAUAGAAGAUCUCGUUGAAGUACUUCGCCGUGAAAAUGCCCUAAACAUUUUCGUUGCAUCAGUUCCUAAAGAAAUCAAAUAUGUUAAUUAUAUGUGUGUAGUCACUGGAAAGUCAGUGAAACAUAUGCAAGCAAUUUCUCAGUUUGUAAGAAAGGUUUAUAAGAAGAAAAGACAUAAAAGUGAUCCAGUUCCCAAACUUGAAGGCGCAGAAUCGAAAGAUUGGAUGGCUUUAGACUUAGGAAACAUUGCACUUCAUAUAUUUUCUCCAGAAGCCAGAACUUUGUAUGAUUUAGAUUCCUUAUGGUCAGUAGGUCCACAGUUUGAUGCAGAAUACAAUAAACAGGAUCCUGUUGCUGAAAUGCUAGAAAAACAUUCAAUAUAUUUGCAAGAUUUACGCCCUGCCAAUUAAUAAAAGGGGUAUCUCUAAAUGUUUUAUCUACAAAUAAAGAGUUAUCACAAUAUUGACUUAUCUCUUUAUCUGUGGAGAUAAUGUUUGUACUUAUUUCCCCUUAGUGAUUUUAUCAUUUAUUUUGUGAAUCAGUUCAACAAAACGUUUAGAAAAAUGUGACGUGAAUAUAACGUUAAACAAUGAGUGAAAAGAAAAAGUCGUUAAUGCAAAAAACGUUUCUCAGUUAUGUUCUCACAAGUAAACAAGAUGCAUGGAUUAAUUAUUUAAUACCAUCAAUUACAUCAUUUUUGCUGUAUAUUUUUUUGUUUGCGAGUGAUGUAGCGGUCGUAUUUAGGCAUUUUAAAGAUGAGAACCCAAUAUGGGCUUCCGUUACGUUAUUUGUGAUGUGGUUACCUUCCCUAUGUUCCUACAUUGUGAUAGUCUCGUCGUGGGACCUCUGGCCAGACAUGGAAGGUUGUGAACGUGAUAACUGUAUAUGGUUUGUUGUAAAAACAUUAGAACAUUUAAUGUUCCCAGUGUGGGCGAUUUGGCGAUUUGCAGAAAGAAUUUUUUGGUCUAUAGAAGCGGUGCGAGCAUCUGAUGAUGAAUUUGUAUAUCUUGCAAUUAAUAAGGCAUCAGCACCAAGAACAAUUGAACUGUAUUUCUUUUUCCAAGCCUUUUUGCAUUCUCUACCGCAAAUGCUUAUACAACUUAAUAUUCUAAUGAGACAAGAUUAUAACGUAAAUAGACAGACUGCUGAUGCAGAAGUACUAAGUUUUGUGUUCAAUCUGUCCAAAAUAGCCGCAACUAUUGCCUUUUACCAACGAUUUAAAACGCAGAAACUAGCAGGCAAACAAUACCCGUGGUUCAAAUCUUAUAAAAACCGCUUUAAUCCGACUGAUGAAAUUGAUUCCUUGACUAGACCUAGGGCUACUCAUACUAGACCAACAAGUUCAACAAGUGAAGACCCUAGUCCUAGAGUUGUUCACAUUAGACAACUAAGUUCAACAACUGAAGAACCGCCACCCUCAGAAAGCAGAAGGAGCAGUGAUUUCUAUUUGGAACCAGAAGAGAGCGAUCGACCAGACUCUAUGCAUAAGUCAAUUUACAGUGAACCAGAACAGCGCGAUCGACCAGACUCUGCGCCUAAGUCAAUUUAUAGUCGUAACUCAAUGUACAGCCGCAACUCAGGUUACAGUACUCAGCCUGACUUCAAUAUAAGGAGAGUAGCUGCAGUGAAAGGUUUACCAGAAGAUGACCAGGCAGGAAAACUGGUGUCUUUUCUUUGGUGGUCGUGUUUUUUAUUGGCUAGAAUAUUGGCAAUUUCUACUUUUUUCUAUUUUUAUCCAACUGCUACGUGUUGGCUGCUUUUUUCACAUUUCAUGAUAGUUAUUUCAUUUUUAAUUUAUGACGUCAAGUCAGAUGAUGUUAAGAGAGGCAAAGCAGUAUUUUUUCUCUUCAUAGGUUUGAUUUACAUAUUUUGUAUAAUAGAAUUUAAAAUUAAGUUUAAGAAGACAAAAUUUAUGUACAUUGGUUAUUUUACUCUUGUUUUUCUUCAAGACUUCAUCAUGUGCAUGAUUUGGUGGUUUAACAAUGUAGAGGAUCUUCGUAAGGAUUUUUGGUUUCAAUACAUAUUUUAUAUUGUAAUAAUGGGUUCUCUUAUCAGUGUUCCAGCAAUGCUUUUAUAUUUAUGUAUUAAUAAGCCAAAGAAAGUAGUGGUAGGUCAAAGAGUCUUGUAAUCAAUAUAGAGACAGUAUCAACAUUUUCGUAUUUUUUGACUCGUCAUUAAUAAAACCUUCGUA